Molecule: ribosomal RNA, 429 nt
Filed under: Bacteroidota bacterium
Lineage: Bacteria; Pseudomonadati; Bacteroidota
Description: Bacteroidetes bacterium partial 16S ribosomal RNA
Rfam family: Bacterial small subunit ribosomal RNA
Source: RNAcentral
UAGGGAAUCUUCCGCAAUGGACGCAAGUCUGACGGAGCAACGCCGCGUGAGUGAAGAAGGAUUUCGGUUCGUAAAACUCUGUUGUUAGAGAAGAACAGCGCAUAGAGUAACUGUUAUGCGUGUGACGGUAUCUAACCAGAAAGCCACGGCUAACUACGUGCCAGCAGCCGCGGUAAUACGUAGGUGGCAAGCGUUGUCCGGAUUUAUUGGGCGUAAAGCGAGCGCAGGCGGUCAAUUAAGUCUGAUGUGAAAGCCCCCGGCUCAACCGGGGAGGGUCAUUGGAAACUGGUUGACUUGAGUGCAGAAGAGGAGAGUGGAAUUCCAUGUGUAGCGGUGAAAUGCGUAGAUAUAUGGAGGAGCACCAGUGGCGAAGGCGACUCUCUGGUCUGUUACUGACGCUGAGGCUCGAAAGCGUGGGUAGCAAACAGG